CGCCGCCGUUGAUGACAAGGAGGUGGCCAGGAGUAAUGCCGCCUAGCGUGGAUCUGGCGGUGGCGACCCAUCCCCACGCGGAUCCAGUGCCGGUGACGACGAUGGGCGGCGGGGGCGGCGGAUCUGACGGCGACG
Molecule: small nucleolar RNA, 135 nt
Filed under: Oryza sativa (Asian cultivated rice)
Lineage: Eukaryota; Viridiplantae; Streptophyta; Magnoliopsida; Poales; Poaceae
Description: Z259 small nucleolar RNA
Source: RNAcentral